Oreochromis niloticus (Nile tilapia) is the source of this 2206-nucleotide long non-coding RNA. RefSeq lists it as uncharacterized. The transcript is spliced from 3 exons. NCBI's taxonomy places the organism in Eukaryota, Metazoa, Chordata, Actinopteri, Cichliformes, Cichlidae. The record is from RefSeq and is a predicted model, not a curated record.
UUUUGUUCUGCUGUCAGAGAUGAACAAUAAUAUGGUCAUUUGGCUUUGCCUGCUGGGAUAAAAAUAUUAAUAGCCAGAUUUUAAUGCGAUUUUUUGUGGUUGAUAUAUUGUGUGUGUUCCAGCCAUUUCCGACCUGUUUUUUUAGACGAUGCCUCAAGGACUCUUCUGCUCAUUGGCUCAGCUAAAACCUACUGCAGUAUAGAGAAAACACACGCUGCUGUAAAGCUACAUUUUGGUUUACCGCAGUUACCUGAUAUUGUACAGUACACAUUCCUGAUGAUUCACAGCCUCUCCGGGCCUCUUCUGUUUUAUUUGCACUUUCAGGAGCUGCUUUUUUUUUCUUGGCAAAUAUAGACAUCCUUUUUUUUGUCUGUCUGUCAACACCAGAUCUGUUGCAACUUCAAUAUUCUCAGUGUCAAAUUUGUGUGAGACAAAUAUCUAAUAAUAGCCGGUCUAUUAGAUAGAUGGCUCAUGCCAGAGUUUAGACACAGAGAGCUGUUUCAUGCUGCUCCGCUGUUAGGAAGCCUUCAAUACUGAGCUGAUGAAAUACAAUACAAUUAGGACUCACACUGAUAAACAAUAGAUGGCGUGCAAUAUAUUGACACUGUAUUGCAUUUUUGCAUGCCUGUUAUCUGUUCUCGUUGGAGGGGUGUUUAACCGCGGUGUGACCUUCAAAUGACACAGUGAGGGUAAAAACGCAAAGUCAGCAGAAGAUAAUUACAUUCCCCCUCGGUGCUGUUAAAGUCUAUUUAAAGGCCGUUCUGAAAUUAGCUCUGUUUCUGUGAUUAGAGUUGAAAUAUGAAGACAAUGUUUUUAUCAUUCAUGCUAAUUUUAAUUUUACACACACACAGCACUCAAAUAUUUCCUAAAUUAAAUUUGCUAAUGGCUCCUUGCUCCUUGUGUACAAGGCCAUUAAAUGCGUGGUACACCCUACAAAUCAUGCAUCUAUGAGACGGUAACACGGCAGACAAUAAUGUGGCAGAGUAGAUUAUUAUAUUAUUAAUACGAAGGGGACAUUUCCCCUAUCGUUUGAAAGGAGAAUAUCACCCACACAGCUUUGUACCCGCAGCCGAGGCGAGGCUGCCUUUAUGCAUAAUUCAUAUUUCCAUAUCGUCAUGGUGAUCAUGUGAGAUGAGUGUUUGCUCUCGCAGCAGGGAAGCUGGUUGGUGUGUGUGUGUGUGUGUGUGUGUGUGUGUGGAGGGAGGAAGGGAGGGGGGCAAGGUGUCAUGAGGGACAGAAAACACUGAAUGAGGGAAGGCGAAAGGAAAGAAGAGGGAAACUGUGACAGCAUUGGAUUGUAAGCGUUAGCCAGUGGCCCAGUCUUUGUCUUUUGCCUGUCAAAAAAUGGAGGCAGAGGCUUCACCCUCUGAAGGCCUCCAUCGUACAGACAGCUGUUUAACCUGCUAGCAACUGCCUCAGCCAGGUGUAAAUACUCAGCGAACUCCUCGUGCUGCCAGGGCGGAAAAUGAAACGGCCUCUCCAGCUGGAAGAACAAGUGUUGUGUGGGCUCCCUGAAGUGGUGCAGCACUGGGUCAUUGGAGAGCCACAGCGUGUUUGGGAACACAACAGUCUGUGUUUUUUUUUCAGCACAGCUUGUUGGAUGAAGGGCCAUUUCACAGGCAUUAUGGAUUAAUCUUUGGCAGGAUCCCUCCAGGAUCAAGCAAAACUGGGCGUUUAACCUCACGUGUCACGACAGAGAGUUCUCUGGUGAUAAACCAGGACAGAGAGGAUUGAACGUGACCCGCAUUUCUCUGUAGAUUCAUUACUUGAGUCCUUCUUAAAAAUAAAAUAUGGGUACACAUCCUUCUUCAGGUAAGUGGUACCCAUGGGUGAAUAAAUAAAUAAACUGCCUUAAUCUGAAGUGGAAAACCACCACACAUUACUGUGUUAUAUCUCCCUGCUGAUCACCCGGUGUCCUGUUCAGGUACCAGAAAGUGAGCGUUUGAACUGCGCUGCUGUGUCUGUCACUCCACCUUGCUGUCACCUGCACACAAUCACAGAUUCACAGCUGACACGUCCCACCGCUGCUUAUAAACUGUUCGUUAUGCUCAGCUCAAUAUUGAAAUGCUUUCAAGUUCAUUUUGACAGGAGGUGUGAUUGACAGGUGUAAAUUGAACAGUCUGGGUGCAAACAGAAAGACUGCUUAUAUGUAUUCCUGCAGCUGUACAUGUGUGAACUGUUUAAUUAAAUAAACGAAUGGAUGUGA